UCAAGCUACUAAGGGCAUACGGCGGAUGCCUAGGCGCCAUCAGCCGAUGAAGGACGCGGUAAGCUGCGAAAAGCUACGGGGAACUGCAAGCAAGUAUUGAUCCGUAGAUGUCCGAAUGGGGAAACCCACCUGCCGUCAUGGGCAGGUAUCCGAAAGGAAGGGAACCCGGGGAACUGAAACAUCUAAGUACCCGGAGGAAGAGAAAUCAAACGAGAUGCCCACAGUAGCGGCGAGCGAAGAGGGCAGAGGGCAAACCGGGGAGCUACGGCUCUCCGGGGUUGAGGACUGCAUUUAGUCUCAAUGGUCUAUCCGAACUACCUGGAAAGGUAGGCAAUACAGUGUAAAAGCCACGUAGGUUAAAGGCCAAAGAGAUGAGCAGUAUCCAGAGUACCACGAGGCACGAGGAAUCUUGUGGGAAGCCGGGGGGACCACCCUCCAACCCUAAACACUGAAUGGCGACCGAUAGCGCAUAGUACCGUGAGGGAAAGGUGAAAAGAACCCCGGGAGGGGAGUGAAAGAGAACCUGAAACCGUAUGUCUACAAGCAGUCGGAGCGAAAGCGACGGCGUGCCUAUUGAAGAAUGAACCAACGAGUUACGUGCACUAGCGAGGUUAAGUGGAAGACACGGAGCCGAAGCGAAAGCGAGUCUUAAGAGGGCGGAUAGUUAGUGUACGUAGACCCGAAACCGCAGUGAUCUACCCAUGUCCAGGUUGAAGCGCAGGUAAAAUUGCGUGGAGGACCGAACCUGUGAGCGUUGAAAAGCUUUAGGAUGAGAUGUGGGUAGAGGUGAAAUUCCAAUCGAACGCGGAGAUAGCUGGUUCUCCCCGAAAUAGCUUUAGGGCUAGCCUCAAGUAGUAAGUAUAGGCGGUAGAGCACUGAUCGGGCUAGGGGCCAUAAAGGUUACCGAACCCUGUCAAACUCCGAAUGGUUAUACUGUAGAGCUUGGGAGUCAGACUACGAGUGAUAAGAUCCGUGGUCAAAAGGGAAACAGCCCAGACCACCAGCUAAGGUCCCCAAUGUCGUACUAAGUGGAAAAGGAUGUGGGGUCUCUAAAACAACCAGGAUGUUGGCUUAGAAGCAGCCACCAUUUAAAGAGUGCGUAAUAGCUCACUGGUCGAGAGACCCUGCGCCGAAGAUUACCGGGGCUAAAGUACGAAACCGAAGCUGUGGCUACGACGUAAGUCGUGGGGUAGGGGAGCGUUCUGUGAGGGCUGAAGUCGUUCUGUAAGGAACGGUGGACUUCACAGAAGUGAGAAUGUUGGUAUGAGUAGCGAAAAGAAUGGUGAGAAUCCAUUCCACCGAAAGCAUAAGGAUUCCUGGGCAACGAUCGUCGUCCCAGGGUAAGUCGGGACCUAAUCCGAGGCAUGGAGCGUAGGAGAUGGACAACUGGCAGAUAUUCCAGUACCGGUAAUGAUUGUUUGAGCGAUGGAGUGACACAGGAGGGCAGGCAGGCAGGAGAUUGGUUGUUCCUGUACAAGCGUGUAGGAUGGGACGCAGGCAAAUCCGCGUCCUGUGAGUCUGAGGCGUGAUGUGGAGGUUCCGGAAACGGAACCGAAGCUGCUGACCCCACACUGUCGAGAAAAGCUUCUAGUUAGAGAAUUACCGCCCGUACCGUAAACCGACACAGGUAUGCGGGGAGAGAAUCCUAAGGUGCGCGGGAGAACCCUCGUUAAGGAACUCGGCAAAAUGUACCCGUAACUUCGGGAUAAGGGUAGCCGCUGUUGUGAAGUCUGCACAGAUGGAGCAUGAGGCGGUCGCAGAGAAGAGGCCCAAGCGACUGUUUACCACAAACACAGGUGCCUGCUAAAGAGAAAUCUGACGUAUAGGUGCUGACACCUGCCCAGUGCCGGAAGGUUAAGGAAGGAUGUCCGGAGCAAUCCAAAGCAUUCGACCGAAGCCCCGGUGAACGGCGGCCGUAACUAUAACGGUCCUAAGGUAGCGAAAUUCCUUGUCGGGUAAG
Molecule: ribosomal RNA, 1960 nt
Filed under: human gut metagenome
Description: bacterial LSU rRNA
Rfam family: Bacterial large subunit ribosomal RNA
Source: RNAcentral